AUGAAGGACCGCCGCGGCGGCGCCGGCUUCCCCUUCUCCAUCGGCUGCAUGUCGCAGUCUGCCGUAGCCGUCGCCGACCCGCUCCACAAGAAGCCGCAGCCGCCACAGCCAGCAAAGCAGGCCGACAACCCCUCCUCCUCCUCCACCACCACCACAACCAUGGCGGCCACCACACUGGACAGAGGCGCCGGAGAAGAAAGCAGCGAGGAGAAGACGAGAACCGCGGCGGCGGCGUCAGGGGUCCUCACGGCGGGGGUGCAGCGGCUGCUCAGGGGAAUCAAGACCUUCUUCGCGGCGUACGACGGCGAGGAGGAGGACGACGACGAGGAGCGGGAGAUCGUGAUCGGGUACCCCACGGACGUGCAGCACGUCGGGCACAUCGGCUGGGACGGGAUCAACAAGGUGGGCGUGGGCAUGGCCGGCGCCUUCUCGCUGCCAUCCUCCCUCUCCCUCCGCCAGCUCGAGAUCGCCAUGGACCCCGGCGCCGCAACCACCGCCUGCAUCAACUGA
This 510-nucleotide ribosomal RNA is filed under the name Triticum aestivum (bread wheat). Its description in RNAcentral is "partial small subunit ribosomal RNA". The record is from RNAcentral. Lineage: Eukaryota; Viridiplantae; Streptophyta; Magnoliopsida; Poales; Poaceae.